GGACGGAUGCUUGCAUCCGCUGACGAGUGGCGCACGGGUGCGUAACGCGUAUAGAACCUACCUUUUACUGGGGGAUAGCCCGGAGAAAUCCGGAUUAAUACCCCAUAGUAAUGUCUCAGGGCAUCCUGAGAUGUUUAAAGCUUCGGCGGUAAAAGAUGGCUAUGCGUCUUAUUAGCUAGUAGGCGAGGUAACGGCUCACCUAGGCAACGAUAAGUAGGGGCCCUGAGAGGGGGAUCCCCCACACUGGUACUGAGACACGGACCAGACUCCUACGGGAGGCAGCAGUGAGGAAUAUUGGACAAUGGUCGAGAGACUGAUCCAGCCAUGCCGCGUGCAGGAAGACGGCCCUAUGGGUUGUAAACUGCUUUUGUACGGGAAGAAUAAUACCCACGUGUGGGUAGAUGACGGUACCGUACGAAUAAGGACCGGCUAACUCCGUGCCAGCAGCCGCGGUAAUACGGAGGGUCCGAGCGUUAUCCGGAAUCAUUGGGUUUAAAGGGUCCGCAGGCGGGCCAGUAAGUCAGGGGUGAAAGUUUGCGGCUUAACCGUAAAAUUGCCUUUGAUACUGCUGGUCUUGAGUUGCGGUGAAGUGGCCGGAAUAUGUGGUGUAGCGGUGAAAUGCAUAGAUAUCACAUAGAACACCGAUUGCGAAGGCAGGUCACUAACCGCCGACUGACGCUGAUGGACGAAAGCGUGGGGAGCGAACGGGAUUAGAUACCCCGGUAGUCCACGCCGUAAACGAUGGACACUAGCUGUCGGGCCUUAUGGUUCGGCGGCCCAGCGAAAGUGAUAAGUGUCCCACCUGGGGAGUACGUCGGCAACGAUGAAACUCAAAGGAAUUGACGGGGGCCCGCACAAGCGGUGGAGCAUGUGGUUUAAUUCGAUGAUACGCGAGGAACCUUACCAGGGCUUAAAUGUAGUGGGACAGGGGUAGAGAUACCCUUUUCUUCGGACUCAUUACAAGUGCUGCAUGGUUUGUCGUCAGCUCGUGCCGUGAGGUGUCAGUUAAGUCCUAUACGAGCGCAACCCUUACCGUUAGUUGC
RNAcentral lists this ribosomal RNA (1043 nucleotides) under uncultured bacterium. RNAcentral's name for it is "bacterial SSU rRNA". It matches the Rfam family "Bacterial small subunit ribosomal RNA", at positions 70 to 1118 of the family's 1533-position model. The record is from RNAcentral.